GACGAACGCUGGCGGCGUGCUUAACACAUGCAAGUCGAACGAUGAAGCCGGAGCUUGCUCCGGUGGAUUAGUGGCGAACGGGUGAGUAACACGUGAGCAAUCUGCCCUUGACUCUGGGAUAACUGCGGGAAACUGUAGCUAAUACCGGAUACGACACCUUGGGGCAUCCCAGGGUGUGGAAAGAAUUUCGGUCAAGGAUGAGCUCGCUGCCUAUCAGCUAGUUGGUGAGGUAAUGGCUCACCAAGGCGACGACGGGUAGCCGGCCUGAGAGGGUGACCGGCCACACUGGAACUGAGACACGGUCCAGACUCAUACGGGAGGCAGCAGUGGGGAAUAUUGCACAAUGGGCGAAAGCCUGAUGCAGCAACGCCGCGUGAGGGAUGAAGGCCUUCGGGUUGUAAACCUCUUUUAGCAGGGAAGAAGCGAAAGUGACGGUACCUGCAGAAAAAGCACCGGCUAACUACGUGCCAGCAGCCGCCGUAA
Molecule: ribosomal RNA, 483 nt
Filed under: uncultured bacterium
Lineage: Bacteria
Description: partial 16S ribosomal RNA
Rfam family: Bacterial small subunit ribosomal RNA
Source: RNAcentral